AGUGAGUGUGUUAGUUUUUGUGUGUGUGUGUUAGUUUGUGUGUGUCUGUUAUUGAGUGUGUGUCUGCUAGUGAGUGUCAGUGUGUGUUUGUUAGUUUGUAUGUCAGUGAGUGUGUGUGUGUGCGUCAAUGAGUGUGUUAGUUUGUGUGUGUCUGUUAGUGAGUCUGUUUGAUGUCUGUUAGUGAGUGUGUGUUUGUCAGUGAGAGUGUAUGUUUUGUAAGUGAGUGUGUAUGUGAGUCUGUCUGUCAGUGAGUGUGUAUGUAUGUAUGUCGCUGAGUGUGUCUCUGUCAGUAAAUGUGUGUGUCUG
Molecule: non-coding RNA, 306 nt
Organism: Pelobates cultripes (western spadefoot toad)
Lineage: Eukaryota; Metazoa; Chordata; Amphibia; Anura; Pelobatidae
Source: the annotation of a GenBank genome assembly